AGCGGCGGACGGGUGAGUAACGCGUAGGAAUCUACCCAGUAGUGGGGGACAACUUAGGGAAACUUAAGCUAAUACCGCAUACGCCCUAAGGGGGAAAGCGGGGGAUCUUCGGACCUCGCGCUAUUGGAAGAGCUUGCGUUAGAUUAGCUAGUUGGUGGGGUAAAGGCUCACCAAGGCGACGAUCUAUAGCUGGUCUGAGAGGAUGAUCAGCCACACUGGGACUGAGACACGGCCCAGACUCC
RNAcentral lists this ribosomal RNA (242 nucleotides) under uncultured bacterium. RNAcentral describes it as "partial 16S ribosomal RNA". It matches the Rfam family "Bacterial small subunit ribosomal RNA", at positions 94 to 339 of the family's 1533-position model. The record is from RNAcentral.